AGGAGGAACAGCCCCAGUGGCGGGGCCAGCUCUGGAAACCUGGAUUCAGCUCCUGCAGGAACUCCGUCUGCAGGGCCUGGAGGCUCCGGGGCGGG
Molecule: non-coding RNA, 95 nt
Organism: Canis lupus familiaris (dog)
Lineage: Eukaryota; Metazoa; Chordata; Mammalia; Carnivora; Canidae
Source: Rfam